GAUGAACGCUAGCGAUAGGCUUAACACAUGCAAGUCGAGGGGCAGCACAAGGUAGCUUGCUAUCUGGGUGGCGACCGGCGCACGGGUGCGUAACGCGUAUGCAACUUGCCCUAUACAGGAGGAUAACCCGUCGAAAGACGGACUAAUACUGCGUAUGCUCACAACUUGGCAUCAAGUGGUGAGGAAAGAAAUUCGGUAUAGGAUAGGCAUGCGUCCCAUUAGCUUGUUGGUGAGGUAACGGCUCACCAAGGCAACGAUGGGUAGGGGAACUGAGAGGUUUAUCCCCCACACUGGUACUGAGACACGGACCAGACUCCUACGGGAGGCAGCAGUGAGGAAUAUUGGUCAAUGGGCGCGAGCCUGGACCAGCCAAGUCGCGUGAAGGAUGACUGUCUCAUGGAUUGUAAACUUCUUUUAUACGGGAAUAACAAGAGUCACGUGUGACUCCCUGCAUGUACCGUAUGAAUAAGCAUCGGCUAACUCCGUG
RNAcentral lists this ribosomal RNA (487 nucleotides) under uncultured bacterium. RNAcentral's name for it is "partial 16S ribosomal RNA". It matches the Rfam family "Bacterial small subunit ribosomal RNA", at positions 28 to 507 of the family's 1533-position model. The record is from RNAcentral.